GACGAACGCUGGCGGCGUGCUUAAUACAUGCAAGUCGAACGAACAGGCCCGGCUCUUGCUGCUUUCUCGAUUGGCGAACGGGUGAGUAAAACACGUGUAACAUGUCCCUAUCAGUGUGGUAACUCCAGGGGACUGCGGCUAAUAUCGGGUAUAAUCUCUUGCUGCACGUGGGUCGAUGGUGAGAGACGGCGGUGGUGGAUGGUCUAGAUGCUUAUCAGCUUCUUGGUGUGGUAGUUGCUGACCAAGGUUUUGACGGGUAGCCUGCCUGGGAGGGUGACCGGCGACAUUGGGACUAAGGUAGGCACCAGAAGCCUACCGGCGGCAGCAGGCGGGAAUAUUGCACAAUGGGCGGAAGCCUGAUGCAGCAGUGCCGCGUGCGGGAUAACGGGCUUCGGGUUGUGAACCGAUUUCGAAUGUGCCGUAGAGUGAGUGACGGUAAUGGGUCAAGAAGCAACGGCUAACUACGUG
RNAcentral lists this ribosomal RNA (468 nucleotides) under uncultured bacterium. Its description in RNAcentral is "partial 16S ribosomal RNA". It matches the Rfam family "Bacterial small subunit ribosomal RNA", at positions 28 to 507 of the family's 1533-position model. The record is from RNAcentral.